Molecule: ribosomal RNA, 253 nt
Filed under: uncultured bacterium
Lineage: Bacteria
Description: partial 16S ribosomal RNA
Rfam family: Bacterial small subunit ribosomal RNA
Source: RNAcentral
UACAGAGGCCUCAAGCGUUGUUCGGAUUCAUUGGGCGUAAAGGGUGUGUAGGUGGCGCGCUAAGUCGGGUGUGAAAUUUCGGAGCUUAACUCCGAAACUGCAUUCGAUACUGCGGUGCUUGAGGACUGGAGAGGAGACUGGAAUUUACGGUGUAGCGGUGAAAUGCGUAGAUAUCGUAAGGAAGACCAGUGGCGAAGGCGGGUCUCUGGACAGUUCCUGACGCUGAGGCACGAAGGUCAGGGGAGCAAACGGG